UUGACCCCGGUUUUUAAAUGCAAAGGAGCCAUUGACCCUGUUUUGUUCAUUGAACAUAACGGUGUUAAAUAAAACAUAAAUAGACGUUUUUACCCUUACAUAUUUGAACCUACUUUUUAAAUACUUAUUGUAUAUUUGGCCCAAUUUUAUACACCUAUCUCUUUUAACAAAUAAUUUAAUUGUAAUAUUUGGUUCAUGUUUAAUAUUUAAGACAAAUUUGUUUGAUAUUUGACUGAAGUUCGAUUAAAUUGACAAAUUAUAAUAAAAUUUCAGGAAUCUCCAAUCCAUUUCAUCAAAUUUAUCAAACUUGACUACUGCAAAGUCAGGCCACUUUAAAAUUUCACAAACAGCUCAGGAAACUCCAAUCCAUUUCAUCCUGAGCUCCAGAUCUGCAUAUUAUGCAAAGACCAGAACUGCAACCAGAGUUUCAACAUUAUGCAAACAAGAUUGAUGAGGAGCAGUCAGCUUGUCCAUCGACCACCCCCCCCGCCGCCGAUGAGGAGCACGUUGGAGAGGAAGCACACAUCCACCGGCUCG
Molecule: long non-coding RNA, 537 nt
Filed under: Oryza brachyantha (malo sina)
Lineage: Eukaryota; Viridiplantae; Streptophyta; Magnoliopsida; Poales; Poaceae
Description: long non-coding RNA (OBRA_LNC000283)
Source: RNAcentral